Long non-coding RNA from Entelurus aequoreus (snake pipefish), 1477 nucleotides. RefSeq lists it as uncharacterized. NCBI's taxonomy places the organism in Eukaryota, Metazoa, Chordata, Actinopteri, Syngnathiformes, Syngnathidae. The record is from RefSeq and is a predicted model, not a curated record. The transcript has 4 exons.
UGUGCUUGUUAAGUUGCAUGUGUUUGUUAAGUUGCAUGUGUUUGUUAAGUUGCAUGUGUUUUGUGAAGCUGCGUGUUUUUUCAAUGUUUGUAUUGAUUUGGUGCCAAAACAUACACACGUGUUUUGGACUUUGCAGCGCGUUUGCCCCUUUCGGCCACCGUAGACAUCAGACAUAGUUUAAUCAAUUUUCUAUUUCUCCAAACUACAGACAUUUCCAGCAUUAAGCUUGUGAUAAACGGUUGCAUUAAACUUUAUUGUAAUUAUAAAUAGGGUAAUACAAUUAUAAUCUUAUUCUGAAUUGUUAAAACAUUGGAUUGAACUUCCCGAGUGGGAUCAUUGGCUGCCCAAGUACCUCACAGAAAAUACUGUAAAUAGUGUCUACGUUGCAGAUAUUAAUGAUAGUUUUCAUAAAACAACAGGUAGUAUUUCAGUCAUUGUUUACCUGUCUUGCAGCCGUCAGAGUGCCGUCAACGUCAAAUAGACAAAGUGUGCUGGAGUCCACCGACACUUCACCCAUCUUGAUUCUCCCAAAAAUAGUUAACACACAGACUCGUCGUUUCCUCCGAUGCACGCAGUUAAUCCUCGCCUCUUCCCGAGUGUCGUGGCUCCUGUCAGUACGCAACCGGUCCACGCAUGCGCACAAUCUACUCGAAGAGGGUACAUGCGGCAAAGAACACGUCACUUCUUGUCAACUUGCUUUACGGCAUCCUGCUGUUACCAUGGACAGAAACACGAACAAACGGCUCAGCAGUCUUAAAUGGAAACUACUACGUUACAGAUGGUGGCCCUUGGCAAAGGCCUAGUGCCUGACUGCCCCAUGGCCAGAGAUACGGUGAAGACCUCAACGGCGGAGCAGGCGGAAGACGGUAGUUUUAAGAACCACAACGGCUGCGAUGGCGGAAGAAGGCUGCAUGCCACUAGACCCUGACCCGAGUCUGUCAAGGAUCGUGUGGUGACUGUCUGUGCACCAGUCUCCCCACGUAAAACAAAGUCACGCACAGGCAUCCUCCAUGAAGGGAUACACCCCUACCAGGAGGAUCGUCAUACUCGUUCGAGUGACCGCCGAUGAUGAUGAUUAUGUUGGGAUAUAAUAUGAAGGAUGAAGUGAUUAAGAAAUGUUUAAUAUAUAUAUGCUUAGAAUAGGCCGUGCAACUAAUCAUAUCCUCUAAGUUCCAGUUGGAACUGGGUCCAAGUUCAAGCACAGGCACAUUCACUCUUAUCGUCCACAUUUUUGCUACUGUUGAUGUGGUUUCUUCGCCGAGGUCUGAAGGACAACACCAGAUAUGAAGUCGGAUUCCAGGAAAGAGAAGUCAGAGGACGAUUCCACGCAGACACCUCAUCGCAUAUUCAUACAUUGUGAUACAUAUUGUAAGAGCGCGAGGGGGAGGGCGCCUCCAGACAGCCCUGUGUAAGUCGGCGUAUUGAAUGCUACUAGGGACAGAUAGCGCUCAGACAAAUUGUAUUAGAAUUGUAUCCA